AUUGAACGCUGGCGGCAUGCCUUACACAUGCAAGUCGAACGGCAGCACGGACUUCGGUCUGGUGGCGAGUGGCGAACGGGUGAGUAAUGUAUCGGAACGUACCUUUCAGUGGGGGAUAACGUAGCGAAAGUUACGCUAAUACCGCAUAUUCUGUGAGCAGGAAAGCAGGGGAUCGAAAGACCUUGCGCUGAUUGAGCGGCCGAUAUCAGAUUAGCUAGUUGGUGGGGUAAAGGCCUACCAAGGCGACGAUCUGUAGCGGGUCUGAGAGGAUGAUCUGCCACACUGGAAGUGAGACACGGUCCAGACGCCUACGGGAGGCAGCAGUGGGGAAUGGUGGACAGAGGGGGCAAACCUGGUCCAGCGAUGCGGCGUGAGUGAAGAAGGCCUUCGGGUUGUAAAGCUCGUUCGGCCGGGAAGAAAUCGCAUAGGCUGAUACCCUGCGUGGAUGACGGUACCGGAAUAAGAAGCACCGGCUAACUACGUG
This 484-nucleotide ribosomal RNA is filed under the name uncultured bacterium. RNAcentral describes it as "partial 16S ribosomal RNA". It matches the Rfam family "Bacterial small subunit ribosomal RNA", at positions 29 to 507 of the family's 1533-position model. The record is from RNAcentral.